GAGUUUGAUCUUGGCUCAGAUUGAACGCUGGCGGUAUGCCUUACACAUGCAAGUCGAACGGCAGCAUGAUCUAGCUUGCUAGAUUGAUGGCGAGUGGCGAACGGGUGAGUAAUACAUCGGGAACGUGCCCUGUAGUGGGGGAUAACUAGUCGAGAGAUUAGCUAAUACCGCAUACGACCUGAGGGUGAAAGUGGGGGACCGCAAGGCCUCAUGCUAUAGGAGCGGCCGAUGUCUGAUUAGCUAGUUGGUGGGGUAAAGGCCCACCAAGGCGACGAUCAGUAGCUGGUCUGAGAGGACGCUCAGCCACACUGGGACUGAGACACGGCCCAGACUCCUACGGGAGGCAGCAGUGGGGAAUUUUGGACAAUGGGCGAAAGCCUGAUCCAGCAAUGCCGCGUGUGUGAAGAAGGCCUCGG
This 416-nucleotide ribosomal RNA is filed under the name uncultured microorganism. RNAcentral's name for it is "bacterial SSU rRNA". It matches the Rfam family "Bacterial small subunit ribosomal RNA", at positions 9 to 420 of the family's 1533-position model. The record is from RNAcentral.